This is a non-coding RNA of Caenorhabditis elegans, 355 nucleotides long. The record is from Ensembl. Lineage: Eukaryota; Metazoa; Nematoda; Chromadorea; Rhabditida; Rhabditidae.
UGUUGUUGCGGCACCAUUCGAAAUGAGAAGAACGUGUGGGGUGGCAGAAGCAAAAAUGCAACACAUAUACACAGAGCAUGUGAGACGGAGAACAAGAAAUAGAGAGUGGGAGCAAGAAGGGCGCAGCGGGGAGAGAACUGAGAAAAGUGUGCUCUUUUGCUCACGCGCUUCCCCGGGCGGCAGUCGUACGCUGCCAUUGCUUUUCGUACUAUUCCAACAGCGCCGGGGCGAAUGCAAGUUUGCAUGCAUUAAAUAAAUGGGUGGCAUAGAGACCUGCCAUUGAACAUGACCAGGUUUUGAAAAUGGCUUGGGAAGCAACAUCGAAUUUAAAACGAAACGUGUAAGUAAGGCCUCG